This 704-nucleotide long non-coding RNA is filed under the name Mus musculus (house mouse). Its description in RNAcentral is "predicted gene, 49151". The record is from RNAcentral. Lineage: Eukaryota; Metazoa; Chordata; Mammalia; Rodentia; Muridae.
AUGGUGGGCAUACUUUUAACAUCCACUUUGAAAAAGCUGGGAAAAGAUUGCCAAAAACGGUUUCUCCGUGUAGCCUGGCUGUCCCGGACGUCAUGCUGGAGAGAUCAUGCCCUCAAGCUCAGAGAUUCACCUGACUCUGCCUCCCAAAUAAUCAGGGCCAAAUUAUUGUUUGGUUGUUUUGCUCAAACAGGCUUCAUCGUCUAAAUAAAAACAUUCUACUUACAUCUCUCUCUCUCUCUCUCUCUCUCUCUCUCUCUCUCUCUCUCUCUCUCUCUCUCUCUCUGUGUGUGUGUGUGUGUGUGUGUGUGUGUGUGUGUGUAGGUGUGUGUGUGUGUGUGUGUAUGUGUGUGUGUAUGUGUGUGUGUGUGUGAGAGAGAGUGUGUGUGUGUGUAUGUGUGUGUGUGUGUGAGAGUGUGUGUGUGUGAGUGUGUGUGUGUGUGUGUAUGUGUGUGUGUGUGUGUGAGAGAGAGUGUGUGUGUGUGUGUGUGUAUGUGUGUGUGUGUGUGUGAGAGUGUGUGUGUGUGUGUAUGUGUGUGUGUGUGAGAGUAUGUGUGUGUGUGUGUAGGUGUGUGUGUGUGUGUGUGUGUGUAGGUGUGUGUGUGUGUGUGUGUGUGUGUGUGUAGGUGUGUGUGUGUGUGUGUGUGUGUUCUAGGAGACUGUGCAUGUGUAUGGAGCUUCCCAUGUAUUGAGCAAGCGCUCUACCA